UCUGAUCUGAGAAUCCGACGAUAUCUAGUGCUACCAAUCUCACCGGGAUACUCUCCCCAUCACCAUAGCCGCCGCCUCCCAUGCCACAGCCACCUCCCGUCGAUCGUACCCAAAUCCUCUGCGCGUGGUGGGAUUCCCUCAUGAGCCAUCGGUGUGCCGUUGCGCCGCCGUCGUUUGUCGCCAUCUUCACAUCGCCGCACCCGUUCCUUCCCAAAUCCUUCCUCGGGUGACCUAGGCAACCCCUAAGAGUACGACAAUCUCAGUUGAUUUCAAGGAAAGUGGCAGCGACUACCAUGAAUAGACAUCAUGUCCAGUGGCGACGCCACAAGAAUCACGUGUGUGCUUCAAUUCAAGACAAUGUCACCCUUUUACACUACGUCCACGUUGGUCAUGCCUACCCUUGAGGUACAACUCUCCUCUCCCUUACACAAUAUGACUAGGCUGGCGAUAAGGGUCAUGGCUUCAGAUCAAUAAGACAUGGCUUAGCCCUAACGUAAUACAAGGUGCCGACACAGACUGCAGAUACACUAUGAAAAUAUCAAAAUGUUGACUCGUAUGAGUUUCAUAGUAUAUGUAAUUAUGUACAUUGUAUUUGUGGAUCAAUAUUGUGUAAAAUAGAUGGGCGCGGCAACGCGCGCCAUCAAUGAUCUAGUUUCAUGGUAUAA
Long non-coding RNA from Triticum dicoccoides, 665 nucleotides. RefSeq lists it as uncharacterized. The transcript has 2 exons. The record is from RefSeq and is a predicted model, not a curated record. NCBI's taxonomy places the organism in Eukaryota, Viridiplantae, Streptophyta, Magnoliopsida, Poales, Poaceae.